GAUGAACGCUGGCGGCGUGCCUAAUACAUGCAAGUCGAACGAACAGACGAGGAUCUUUCUCCUCUGACGUUAGCGGCGGACGGGUGAGUAACACGUGGAUUACCUACCUCUCUGACUGGGAUAACUUCGGCAAACCGUAGCUAAUACCGGAUAAUAUAUCGAACCGCAUGGUUCAGUAGUGAUAUACGGUUUUUCUGUCACUUAUAGAUGUAUCCGCGCCGCAUUAGUUAGUUGGUAAGGUAACGGCUUACCAAGGCGACGAUGCGUAGCCGACCUGAGAGGGUGAACGCCGACAGAGGAGGUGAGACACGGCCCAGAGACUGACGGGAGGCAGCGGCAGGGAAUGUACGGAAAAGGGGGAAAGCCUGAAGGAGCAACGCAGGGUGAGUGAAGAAGGGCUGCGGAUGGUAAAACGGUGUUAUUAGGGAAGAACAAAUGUGUAAGUAACGAUGCAAGUGUGAAGGUAACCGAAGAAGAAGACCCGGCUUACUUCGGU
Molecule: ribosomal RNA, 496 nt
Filed under: uncultured bacterium
Lineage: Bacteria
Description: partial 16S ribosomal RNA
Rfam family: Bacterial small subunit ribosomal RNA
Source: RNAcentral